Molecule: long non-coding RNA, 1069 nt
Organism: Lycium barbarum (goji berry)
Lineage: Eukaryota; Viridiplantae; Streptophyta; Magnoliopsida; Solanales; Solanaceae
Exons: 3
Source: RefSeq, a predicted model, not a curated record
UCCAAGAACCCUUAUUUUCUCUCUCAAACCCCCUUUCUAAUUGAGCCAUCAUAUAAGCUAAAUCCUAGACCCUUGACAUGAUAUUAGUUAAAGAGAAGUUGUAGCCUAAGUUUUCUUUGUGUUGUUAAGCAAGCAGCUGGAAAGAGGAACAAGAUUCUUGAAGAUUCUGAUUGCUAAAGGUAAUUUCAACAUCCUACUCAUGUUAUUAAUUUGGAUUAAAGGUUUAAUAUGGUGUAUACGUGAAGGAAACGUUGAUAUACAAGCUAGAGAGAGAGAGAGAGAGAGAGCAUAAGCCAUGGCAUUCGGCCAUGGCUAGCAAAAUUGGAGCUCAAAUUUGUUGAUCCAAAAAUCAGAUUUUCUAGGUAUUUCAGCCCUUAGGAAGGUGAUAAUAACGUGGAAAAUUCAUUUGGAGCAACAAGAACAAGUAUUAGUUCAUUUCACAAAUUCUAGCUAAGUGGAAAAGCCAACUUGUUAAGACCUUGGGGAGCCCGAGGCGUAGAUUGAGAUUUACUUUAGAUUGACUAUCUUGGAGUGCGUACGAGGUACAGACGCACAGUUUGGUGAUCCACCAGUUUAGGACACCCUCUUCUGCUGUUUGGAGUGCUCCUCUUAUUUCGGAGCCUACAUUUUGGUAUAUAUACUUGUUCGAUGCAUAUGUAUAUAUUUGUUCAGGGGUACGGCGGGACCCUGUCCCAUCAUAUGAUUCGUUUGGUCUGUUUAGAGGUCUGUAGACGUGUAUGUGGGUUGUGCCUACUUCUGUACAGUUGUGUUCGUAUGAUCCUAUUCGUUAUGGCAGCCUCGUCGGCGUGCAUUUUGUAUAUGUGUUUAUGACAGCCUUGUCAGCGUGCAUUCUGUAUGUGUUUUGGGCCGUUGUGCCAUUUGAUAGCCUUGUCGGCUUUUGAUACAUUUGACAGCCUUGCCGGCUUUUUGAUAUAUGUAUAUAUAUAUAUGAUUGCGUUUGAAAUAUGCCUAAGUCAGUUUGAUAUGAUUUGUGGCAGCGUGUGAUAUUUGUGCCCGUGUACGCUAUCUGUAUGUGAUUUGAUCUGGAUAAGUGUGUUAGGGUGCCCAA